RNAcentral lists this transfer RNA (67 nucleotides) under marine eukaryotic metagenome. It matches the Rfam family "tRNA". Rfam says of the family: Transfer RNA (tRNA) molecules are approximately 80 nucleotides in length. The record is from RNAcentral.
GGGAGUAGCUCAGGGGUAGAGCGCCGCCCUUCCAAGGCGGUUGUCGUGGGUUCAAAUCCCAUCUCCC